GACGAACGCUGGCGGCGUGCUUAACACAUGCAAGUUGAACGGAAAGGCCCUGCUUUUGUGGGGUGCUCGAGUGGCGAACGGGUGAGUAACACGUGAGUAACCUGCCCUUGACUUUGGGAUAACUUCAGGAAACUGGGGCUAAUACCGGAUAGGAGCUCCUGCUGCAUGGUGGGGGUUGGAAGGUUUCGGCGGUUGGGGAUGGACUCGCGGCUUAUCAGCUUGUUGGUGGGGUAGUGGCUUACCAAGGCUUUGACGGGUAGCCGGCCUGAGAGGGUGACCGGCCACAUUGGGACUGAGAUACGGCCCAGACUCCUACGGGAGGCAGCAGUGGGGAAUAUUGCACAAUGGGCGGAAGCCUGAUGCAGCAACGCCGCGUGCGGGAUGACGGCCUUCGGGUUGUAAACCGCUUUCGCCUGUGACGAAGCGUGAGUGACGGUAAUGGGUAAAGAAGCACCGGCUAACUACGUG
Molecule: ribosomal RNA, 468 nt
Filed under: uncultured bacterium
Lineage: Bacteria
Description: partial 16S ribosomal RNA
Rfam family: Bacterial small subunit ribosomal RNA
Source: RNAcentral